GCGGGCGUAGCUCAGUGGUAGAGCAGAGCCCUUCCAAGGCUCGUGUCGCCGGUUCGAUCCCGGCCGCCCGCUCCU
RNAcentral lists this transfer RNA (75 nucleotides) under Actinomycetes bacterium. Its description in RNAcentral is "Actinobacteria bacterium tRNA-Gly". It matches the Rfam family "tRNA". From Rfam's summary of the family: Transfer RNA (tRNA) molecules are approximately 80 nucleotides in length. Their secondary structure includes four short double-helical elements and three loops (D, anti-codon, and T loops). Further hydrogen bonds mediate the characteristic L-shaped molecular structure. tRNAs have two regions of fundamental functional importance: the anti-codon, which is responsible for specific mRNA codon recognition, and the 3' end, to which the tRNAs corresponding amino acid is attached (by aminoacyl-tRNA synthetases). tRNAs cope with the degeneracy of the genetic code in two manners: having more than one tRNA (with a specific anti-codon) for a particular amino acid; and 'wobble' base-pairing, i.e. permitting non-standard base-pairing at the 3rd anti-codon position. Lineage: Bacteria; Bacillati; Actinomycetota; Actinomycetes. The record is from RNAcentral.